UACCUUGUUGAUCCUGCCAGUAGCAUAUGCUUGUCUCAAAGAUUAAGCCAUGCAUGUCUAAGUACACAUGGGCAUUACGGUGAAACUGCGAAUGGCUCAUUAAAUCAAUUAUGGUUUCUUUGGUUGCUCCUACCAUUCCUUGGAUAACUGUGGUAAUUCUAGAGCUAAUACAUGCCAAUGAGAGCUGACCUCCUGGGAUAUGUGCAUUUAUCAGACCAAAACCAACCCUGGCUCGCCCGGCCGCUUUGAUGACUCUAGAUAACCUCGGUCCCAUCACAUGCCCCCUUGACAGUGGCGGCGCAUUUAAAUGUCUGCUCUAUCAACUUUCAAUGGUACUUUCUGUGCCCACCAUGGUGACCACAGGUAACAGGGAACCGGGGUUCGAUUCUGGAGACGGAGCCUGAGGAAUGGCUACCACAUCCAAGGAAGGCAGCAGGCGCACAAAUUACCCACUCCCAACGUGGCGAGGUAGUGACAAAAACUAACAAUACAGGACUCUUCUGAGGCCCUGCAAUUGGAAUGAGUACAGUUUAAAUCCUUUAAUGCCUCUCUUAAGGAAAUGGCAGCUGAUGAUCUGUGAUGUUCUACUGAUCAGUC
RNAcentral lists this ribosomal RNA (597 nucleotides) under Podarcis lilfordi (Lilford's wall lizard). It matches the Rfam family "Eukaryotic small subunit ribosomal RNA", at positions 1 to 591 of the family's 1831-position model. Lineage: Eukaryota; Metazoa; Chordata; Lepidosauria; Squamata; Lacertidae. The record is from RNAcentral.